AUAUUUGUUAUUGUGUUACGAUGUGAUCAAUUUUAGGUGAUCUAGAAAUAUAAGAAGAGUUAGAAAAGAAUUGGAAGAAAGAGUAUGAAAAACAUAAGGAAAUGAAAUAGGAAAACAAGAGUUAGACUGGAGACAUUAUAGAGGUAAGUUCUCUUUUUUUUCUUAAUGCAUAACGCACAAUUAGGUAGUAAUUAUAAAAUAGAUUCGUUAUAAGAAGUCAUAUUCUUCCAAUGAUCCCUAAGUUUCAGACCGCGAACUAACUCAAAUCACAUAUUUGACUUUCUAUGAAAUUACCUAUUUAACCUAUAUAACAAAAAAACAUAAAAGUGCAAUCUAAAUUAAAUAUGUCUA
RNAcentral lists this long non-coding RNA (351 nucleotides) under Carica papaya (papaya). Its description in RNAcentral is "long non-coding RNA (CPAP_LNC005375)". The record is from RNAcentral. Lineage: Eukaryota; Viridiplantae; Streptophyta; Magnoliopsida; Brassicales; Caricaceae.